Molecule: ribosomal RNA, 519 nt
Filed under: uncultured bacterium
Lineage: Bacteria
Description: bacterial SSU rRNA
Rfam family: Bacterial small subunit ribosomal RNA
Source: RNAcentral
AGAGUUGAUCAUGGCUCAGGAUGAACGCUAGCUACAGGCUUAACACAUGCAAGUCGAGGGGAAACGAUAUUGAAAGCUUGCUUCUUAGGCGUCGACCGGCGAAUGGGUGAGUAACGCGUAUCCAACCUGCCCCUGAGUAAGGGAUAGCCCAUCGAAAGAUGGAUUAAUACCUUAUGGUUUCCUUUGAAGGCAUCAGAUUAGGAAUAAAGAUUUAUCGCUGAGGGAUGGGGAUGCGUCUGAUUAGCUUGUUGGCGGGUAACGGCCACCAAGGCAACGAUCAGUAGGGGUUCUGAGAGGAAGGUCCCCCACAUUGGUACUGAGACACGGACCAAACUCCUAUGGGAGGCAGCAGUGAGGAAUAUUGGUCAAUGGGCGGAAGCCUGAACCAGCCAAGUAGCGUGCCAGGAUGACUGCCCUAUGGGUUGUAAACUGCUUUUAUACGGGGAUAAAGUCAGAGUCGUGACUCUGUUUGCAGGUACCGUAUGAAUAAGGACCGGCUAAUUCCGUGCCAGCCGCGGC